GUUUGAUCCUGGCUCAAAAUGAACGCUAUUAGUAUGCUUUACACAUGCGAGUCGAACGAAUUGAUUUUAAUUUUUUUCGUGGCGAACGGGUGAAAAACGCGUAAAAAACUGCCUUUUAGAUUAGUUAAAACAAAUCAGUAAAAUAAUUUUUUUUAUUGAGUAUUUUUGUUAAAUCUAUAUUUAUUAUUAAAAAAUUAAGUUAAUUAAUUUACUAAAAGAUGUUUUUGCGUAAGAUUAGGUUGUUGGUAAUUUAAAAGAUUACCAAGCCUACGAUCUUUAGUUGGUCUUAGAGGACGAUCAACCACACUGGAACUGAGACAAGGUCCAGGCUAAAUUUUUAGCCAGCAGUGAGGAAUAUUGGACAAUGAACGAAAGUUUGAUCCAGCAAUACUAGUUGAAUGAUGACGGCUAUUUUGGUUGUAAAAUUCUUUCAUUAAAAAUGAUAAUGACAUUAUUUAAAGAAGUUUUAGUCCCGGCUAAUCUCGUGCCAGCAGCCGCGGUAAUACGGGAGGGGCAAGCGUUAUUUGGAAUGACUGGGCGUAAAGGGUCCGUAGGCUGUAUUAUAAGUUAAAUGUUAAAUACUAAAGCUUAACUUUAGAAAAACAUUUAAUACUGUUAUACUUGAGUUUUAUUCAGAAAAGUAGAAUUUUAUGUUGAAGAGUAAUGACUAGAGACACAUAAAGGAAUAUCAAUAGCGAAAGCAACUUUUUAGUAAAAACUGACGUUGAGGGACGAAAGUGUAGGUAGCAAACAGAAUUAGAUACUCUGGUAGUCUACACUGUAAAUGCUGAGUGCUGUAAUUUAAGAAUUUAGAUUUUUUAAGCUAACGCUAUAAGCACUCCGCCUGAGGAGUACGGCCGCAAGGUUGGAACUCAAAGGAAUUGACGGGGGCCUACAACAAGUGGUGGAGCAUGUGGUUUAAUGCGAUAAUCCGCGCAAAACCUUACCAGUCUUUGAAUAAAUUAAUUUAUAUAAAAAAUUUAAAAUUUAUUAAAAUUUUUUUACAGGUGUUGCACGACUGUCGUCAGCUCGUGUCGUAAGAUGUUUGGUUAAUUCCUUUAACGAGCGCAACUUUUAUUUUUAUAUUAAUUUAUUUUAGUUAAAAAAUUUAUAAUCUUAUUUUUUUAAUUUUUAUAAAAAAACAGUCAAUGACAAAUUGAAGGAAGGAGAAAAUAAAGUCAAGUCACUGUGGCCCUUAUAGGCUGGGCUACACACGUGCUACAAUGAAAAUUACAGAAAGUUACAAAAGUAAAAACUUAAGUUAAUCUUUAAAAAUUUUCUAAGUUCGGAUUAUAAACUGAAACUCGUUUAUAUGAAGUUGGAAUCACUAGUAAUCGCAAAUCAGAACGUUGCGGUGAAUAUGUAUCUUGGCCUUGUACACACCGCCCGUCACAUGCGGAAAAUUAAUUUUAUUUGAAGUUUAAAUAUUAUAAAUUUUAAAAUUAAUAUAUUUUAAAAUUUAUAAAAAACCAUUGAGAAAUUAAUAAUUUGGAUGAAGUCGUAACAAGGUAGCUGUACGGGAACGUGUAGCUGGA
This 1535-nucleotide ribosomal RNA is filed under the name Chaetoceros affinis. Its description in RNAcentral is "partial Bacterial small subunit ribosomal RNA". It matches the Rfam family "Bacterial small subunit ribosomal RNA". Lineage: Eukaryota; Bacillariophyta; Thalassiosirophyceae; Chaetocerotales; Chaetocerotaceae. The record is from RNAcentral.